AUUGAACGCUGGCGGCAGGCCUAACACAUGCAAGUCGAACGGUAACAGGAAGAAGCUUGCUUCUUUGCUGACGAGUGGCGGACGGGUGAGUAAUGUCUGAGAAACAGCCUGACGGAGGGGGAUAACUACUGGAAACGGUAGCUAAUACCGCAUAACGUCGCAAGACCAAAGAGGGGGACCUUCGGGCCUCUUGCCAUCGGAUGUGCCCAGAUGGGAUUAGCUAGCAGGUGGGGUAACGGCUCACCUAGGCGACGAUCCCUAGCUGGUCUGAGAGGAUGACCAGCCACCCUGGAACUGAGACACGGUCCAGACUCCUACGGGAGGCCGCAGUGGAGAAUCUUGCACGAUGGGCGAAAGCCUGAUGCAGCCAUGCCGCGUGUAUGAAGAAGGCGUUCGGGUUGUAAAGUACUUUAAGCGGGGAGGAAGGGAGUAAAGUUAAUACCUUUGCUCAUUGACGUUACCGGCAGAAGAAGCACCGGCUAACUCCGUG
RNAcentral lists this ribosomal RNA (490 nucleotides) under uncultured bacterium. Its description in RNAcentral is "partial 16S ribosomal RNA". It matches the Rfam family "Bacterial small subunit ribosomal RNA", at positions 30 to 507 of the family's 1533-position model. The record is from RNAcentral.